UACGUAGGGGGCAAGCGUUGUCCGGAUUUCUUGGGCGUAAAGCGCGUGUAGGCGGCCAGAUAGGUCUGCUGUGAAAACUCGAGGCUCAACCUCGAGCUGUCGGCGGAAACCAUCUGGCUAGAGUCCGGAAGAGGAGAGUGGAAUUCCUGGUGUAGCGGUGAAAUGCGCAGAUAUCAGGAGGAACACCCGUGGCGAAAGCGGCUCUCUGGGACGGUACUGACGCUGAGGCGCGAAAGCUAGGGGAGCAAACAGG
This 253-nucleotide ribosomal RNA is filed under the name uncultured bacterium. RNAcentral's name for it is "partial 16S ribosomal RNA". It matches the Rfam family "Bacterial small subunit ribosomal RNA", at positions 524 to 776 of the family's 1533-position model. The record is from RNAcentral.